Non-coding RNA from Xenopus laevis (African clawed frog), 1703 nucleotides. The record is from the annotation of a RefSeq genome assembly. NCBI's taxonomy places the organism in Eukaryota, Metazoa, Chordata, Amphibia, Anura, Pipidae.
AUAAAACUGCACUCCCUCUGCUGCAGAGACCAGAACAUUUCCUCUGUUUCACAUCUAAACAUGAUCUACUGCUAUAACAUACACAUUUGCCUUUGUUCCUUACUUUUGGCUUCUUAUUUUCAAGGUGUACAAUGCAACACUCAAGUCUUCCAGACCCCAGUAAUGAUUGCUGAAGAAGGCCAGGAAAUCACAUUAAGAUGUAACCACUCCAUUAAAAACCAUGAUUUUCUGGUCUGGUACAAACAGCUACCCGGAUCAUCCCUUCAGAUCUGCGCUUCAGGAUUCCUGCAACCCAACAACAUUUGCCGUGUUACUAUGAGUACAGAUAAGGAGAGCUUGUCAACACAACUUUCUAUCAGCAAAGUACGUGUGGAAGAGUCAGCCCUGUAUUACUGUGCUGUGAGAGACACAGUGAAAGAAACACAGAACUCAGCUGUGCCAAAAGCCAUCCCCUAACUACUUCAUUGCUUAAAGCACAAGAUACUGCAUCUUGUAAGAAAGUGUUCACUUUGUGUUUUUUUAGGGGUCAGAUGAACAACAUUGUAAUGGUGUAGUUUCAGUGCAGCACUUAAAUCAUAUUGAAACAUAAAUGAUUUGGGGGUGUCAAUGUGUUACGCAACCCCAUUUAUAAAUAAUGUGCCCCUUGCCAGUGUGGUGCUUCUUCACAAAUGCUCCUGAGCACUUGAACCUUUAUCUAUUAGUGAUAAGUGGGUCAAUCAGUUGCUGACUUGUGCCAACAAUCACUCACCCUUCCUAACCCAAAUAUGUUUUUAGCUUUGCAACAAUAAUAAAAGUUAUGUAUUAACAUGCAUUUUGGGAAUGCAUUUUGGGAAUGAUUGUAUGUUCCACUUACAAUCAGAUCUCUUUCUAUCUGUGCCCGACUUAUUUCACAUAAUAUGGCAACCUUCAUUUAUUAGCUGUUCAGCAGUACUCACUCAGCCUGUUCAGUCCUCUCUGACUUUUACACUAGGGCUCGUUUAUAAACCUUGGGCAAAUUUGCACUUGGGUAAUAACCCAAAGCAACCAAUUAAAAAAAUAAAGCAAGCAUAUGAUUGCUUAUAAUUAAAGACCCACUAUGUUUCCCACCUAGCCUGCUUAUUGGACCAAGCAUACAGUGAAGCCUAUUACUGGCCUAGCCAUUAAGCACAGUGUUAAACAAUUUUCCAAACUUACAUGUUUUCUAUUCUAACAAACCUGCCUGUUUUCAGGAUGUGUUUAAAUCCUUUUAAGGCAGCAGUCAGAUUUCAUUCUAUGCUAUGCAGUUUUCGAAGUAAGCACUAUCAAAUAUUAUUUUGAACGUGUGCACCUGAAAUGUUGCAACACCAUGCUACUCAAACUUGCAAAAGGAUGGAAGGACACUCCGGCUAAAAGAGAAAGGUGGUUUAUUGCAACAGGUCCCAAACCAACAUAGCCUGACGCGUUUCUGGAGCAACUUCCGUAAUCAUAGGCUUCAACUACUCAACUUGCACAAAAAUACAAGUGCAAUUACACCUGUAUUCAAACAUCAUGCUCAAUUGCAGGAGAGCAGGCACAAUUACAGUAUGCUGAAAGUAUGGGACAGAUGUUUCAUUACGGGUAAAAAAAAUUGCAAUUUGAGUCCAAGAUUGCUCUUUGCACAUUGUCCUUGUGUUCAUAAAUGACCCCUAUAGUUUAUUUGCAAAGCUAUAUAAAUCCUUCCAGUGUUUAUUUUUUUUAAUUGGACU